AACGCUAGCUACAGGCUUAACACAUGCAAGUCGAGGGGUAGCAGGGUAGCAAUACCGCUGACGACCGGCGCACGGGUGAGUAACACGUAUCCAACCUUCCCAUAACUCGGGGAUAGCCUUUCGAAAGAAAGAUUAAUACCCGAUAGUACUUAAGAAAGGCAUCUUUUUUAAGUUAAAGAUUUAUUGGUUAUGGAUGGGGAUGCGUUCCAUUAGAUAGUUGGUGAGGUAACGGCUCACCAAGUCUUCGAUGGAUAGGGGUUCUGAGAGGAAGGUCCCCCACAUUGGUACUGAGACACGGACCAAACUCCUACGGGAGGCAGCAGUGAGGAAUAUUGGUCAAUGGGCGAGAGCCUGAACCAGCCAAGUAGCGUGAAGGAUGAAGGUCCUAUGGAUUGUAAACUUCUUUUAUAGUAGAAUAAAGUGAACCACGUGUGGUUUUUUGUAUGUAUACUAUGAAUAAGGAUCGGCUAACUCCGUGCCAGCAGCCGCGGUAAUACGGAGGAUCCGAGCGUUAUCCGGAUUUAUUGGGUUUAAAGGGUGCGUAGGCGGAAUAAUAAGUCAGUUGUGAAAGUUUGCGGCUCAACCGUAAAAUUGCAGUUGAUACUGUUAUUCUUGAGUGUACAUAAGGUAGGCGGAAUUCGUGGUGUAGCGGUGAAAUGCUUAGAUAUCACGAAGAACUCCGAUUG
RNAcentral lists this ribosomal RNA (686 nucleotides) under uncultured bacterium. RNAcentral describes it as "bacterial SSU rRNA". It matches the Rfam family "Bacterial small subunit ribosomal RNA", at positions 32 to 715 of the family's 1533-position model. The record is from RNAcentral.